GCAGGCAGGGGCGGCCAGCGCCACACAGCAGAGAAGAGGCCGUCAGGGUGGAGGAAACUCUGGUCAACCAGAAGGGCGACGGCAAGAGACACCGCUGCUCAACGCUGGGACCCUCGGGAGCCCUCGGCUAAAGGGGUCCGGAAGCCCUCGAAGCGCGAGGCCGUCUGAGCCUCCAGCCGGAGCCGCCGCCUCCACCGCCCAGCGAGAUAGGGCUCCUCCGAUACUCCCUCCCGCCUAGGGCACCACCCCGCUGCGCUCCGCGGCCCCGCCACCCAUCCUCCCUCUUCACCUGCCACCACCCCACCCGCCGUGCCCUCCCGCAGCCCGGAGGGAGAGCACCGGUCGGGUGGCCCUAGCCCCGCACAUGCGGGUUCCGCACGCGAACGCAGCGCCUCGGCACGGCCCGCGGCAAGUGUUCCACCCUCACCUGGCCCGGCCGCGGUUCCCUUCCUCCUCGCUCCCCCUGCCGGCCGCACCUCCACUGCGGUGCGAUAGGAGGCCUGACUGGGAGCUCCCUUGCGUGGAUCAGGAAGGAUGGACCGCCUGGAAUUGCUUACAGCGCCUGCUUGGACACCGCCUCGGGGGUCUCGAGGAAAGCCCACCGCCAGGAGCUGCCCUCACCAUCCUCCCUGCCGCCAUCAGUCGCUCCGCCCCAGGGCCCCAGAGAAGGGCAGGCAGCUGGGGGCCCAAACUUCGCCGGAGCCGGGACAGGCCCGCGCGCCCAGAGGCUCUGCCCUCUCCUCCCGGCUGCACUCCCACCUCUUGACUCCCAGCCCUCGGCCACAGGCGCCAACACAGCAGCCUUGGCACUCCCCGAUCGUCCCUCUAUCCCACGAAAGUGCUUGGCCCACAACACUGGCAAACGCGACACUGCGGGUGACCCUAGUGGGCGUGGACGAGCCAAGACCCCAAACCUGGGAGGCAGGCUGGUGGGGCCACAUGCCAGGGUUGCCCACGGGGCCGCUGACCUGUGGCCGCGGAUCCUUAGUCACAUCCCAGCCUCGGAGCCACGGAGUGGGGAGAAGAACCUCGGGCAGGGAUAGCGGGGGAGGAGCAGGAGCAGGAGCGGGAGCAGGAGCGGGAGCAGGCACGGGCUCGGCGGUCUGCAUCAAAACCGGGGUCGGACAUUCAGUCCUGCAUGCGGAGGCGCUGGCAGGAGUGCUGUCUGCCCCAGUGCAUAGGCAGUGGGCUUGCAGCCCCUGCGGAGGGUGCUGAGUUAGAACUGGGGGGCUGUGGGGACUCCUGGAGUGGAGUGGCCCAAGCCAGAGCCAGAACGGGGGCCAGGUCUGCCUCCAGGGAGUCCAGGGAGGGCUGGAGACAGAAGCAGUUUCCUACCCUGCCUGCCAGGGCAGGGCGCGUUUGGGUCCACUGCCAGAUCUCCUGUGCCACCGCAGACACUGCCUACGAUGAGGAAGGAGGCUGUUCCUGUUACCCAGCCUGGGGUCUCCAUGGGAGUCCUCCCCAACCUGUGGCUUAGGUGGCCCCACUGCUCCUUGACCUUGCCCUCCCUGGGCUCCUCUCCUCCCUAGUGCCCGCCUCCUGACACGGAAGUCCCCACCAAGCCCAUCCCCACGUGUCCUCGGCAUUGGGCCUUUACUCAAACUGCUAGGGUGGUGGGUUACUGUGGCUGGUUCCAAGCUCUGCGGGGUGUGCCAGACAGCAGACAGGAACCCUGCCCAGGAGCUCCAGGCCCGCAGCCAGGUUCCCAGGAAGGGGCCCAGGGCUUGGAGGCGGUGUCCCUGUGAGCCUGGUCAGGCAGCUGACCACAUAGCUGGCAAAGGCCUGGGAGUUAGACACAGCCUGGUGUGCACACUUUGUGGCUGGGAGGACACUGGACAGGAUGAUAGGAGAUGUGGCCCUCUCACCCCGCAAAGGGCAUUCCCUGGGACUCUUCCUAGGCCCCAACGCCACCUGCUCCCUGGUUCCAGAGCAGGGUCUGACCCACUUCAGAGUCCUAGUGCCUGGACCCUAGGGGACAAAUGACUACAGGAUGGACAAAGAGAACAGCGAGACCCUGAGAGAGGCAGACAUGGGAGGGGGUAACGGGUGGAGAGAAGACUGAACAGGGAGGCACACAGCCCUGUGACACUAGCCUCCUCCCAGCUGGGAGGGGACAGGUCAGGGUCUGCACAGCCAGCCGCAUACAGCUGACCCCCAACCUCCUGUCACCAGGCCUAGCUGUCCCCCUGCAAUUAUGGGUGCAGUGUUCUGGGCCAAGUUCCCAGGAGGACAGAUGUGGGGAGAUGAUGAGAGGGAUGGCUGGGCCGGAUGGGUGAUGGCACCCUCUGUCCCCCGACCUCGCCAGGCACCAGGACUCCCUGCAGACUGGAAGUUCCCACAACUCCAGAACAAACAAACAAACAGACAGACUGAUGGACAGCCCAGCCCUGGACCCCUCUCCAAUUUCUGAGGCUGUUGAUUUAGCUGCCCACUUGGUGGGAGGACCCAGCCACAUGGGGAGCUGGCUGUCCAUCUGUCUGUCCAUCUCCUGGCCACACUAGCCCCUCCACCCCAGGUGCAGCCAGGCAGAGGUGAGGUUCUGAGACCCUGGAUGACCUGUAUGCAGGCUGCUGAGGUGGCUGGAUCUCAGCCUGGGGGGCCAGCUGAGGAACCAGUCCCUGCUAGCCCCCUUCCCCUCUGUGGCCCCAGCAGGGGGAGCCACACUUGCCAGGGGAAGGGACUUGUCCCAAAAGACCCUGGAGGAGUGUUGGCUGAGGGUGAGUGGCCAGAAGAUGGACACGUGCAGACACGCCCCUCCAGUUCCUCUGGGCAGCAGGGAACCCUGACUGGACAAUAGCUCCCACUUGUCCAUGUUCAAGGACCCACACCACCACGUGCACACACACUCACGAGCAUGGGCAUGAGUGCAUGUGUGUGUUCACACCAUGUUCCUACUCAGGCACACAUACAUGGGAGUGUGGGCACAUAUGCCUACACAUGUGAGCAUAUCAAUAUUUGACCGUGGGUACAUGUGUCCACAUGCACACAACGGACACAGACGUGAGCAUGGGCACACACAGGCACACUGCAUGCAGACACAUGGACUGGGCCCAGACGCACACACGCACACUGUAUGCCUGCAGACACGUGGGCACUCUCCAUGUACACAAACGUGAGCACGGGCAUGCAUGCACCUCUGUACAUACACAGACACACGUGAGCAUGGACACACACAUGCACAUAGCAAACACCAACACAGACACCAGUGUGGGAGAGUGUGCAUGCACCGGCAUGUGUAGCAGACAUACAUACAGGCACACACAUGUGCAGGCUUGUCACUCACAGUGACCGCUGUAAUCCUUCUGUAAUAAUGAUGAUGCUCACAUGCGCCUUGGGUUGACUUGAGUUGGGCGAAGCACUGUGGAAGCUUGCUGCUGCGUGAGGAAGGAGGAGUGCAAUAUUUCAGGCCUCUCCUGCUGGGUCAUUCGUGAAGGGGAUGUACUCGAUGAUGGUGUUUGACAGGCCAGGCUGCUUCCUUGGACAUUGAUACUGGAAGAGACUCUCAAGACAAGAUCGCUCUACAGGGAACCUUCUGGGUGGAACUCCCUGGGAGGCCACUUUCCAUGCUCAGUCCCCAACCCUGAAUCCUGCUUGGUGGUGAAUGAGCCCCGGGAAGCUCUGAGAAGGAAGGCUCUGGGGACAGGGCCAGAGGCAAUGAGGAAUGACAGCUAAGCCGGUGACCUCAGCACCUUUGUUAAUGGGUCCUAACGAGGCCAUGCCCCCAUAAACAUUGGAUAUGUCGUAUCUCUCUUUAAAGAUGCUCUAAGCAUUUAAAGUAAUCAAAU
This is a long non-coding RNA of Cercocebus atys (sooty mangabey), 3785 nucleotides long. RefSeq lists it as uncharacterized. The record is from RefSeq and is a predicted model, not a curated record. The transcript is spliced from 3 exons. Lineage: Eukaryota; Metazoa; Chordata; Mammalia; Primates; Cercopithecidae.